GAUGAACGCUGGCGGCGUGCCUAAUACAUGCAAGUCGAGCGAACGGACGAGAAGCUUGCUUCUCUGAUGUUAGCGGCGGACGGGCGAGUAACACGUGGAUAACCUACCUAUAAGACUGGGAUAACUUCGGGAAACCGGAGCUAAUACCGGAUGAUAUUUUGAACCGCAUGGUUCAAAAGUGAAAGACGGUCUUGCUGUCACUUAUAGAUGGAUCCGCGCUGCAUUAGCUAGUUGGUAAGGUAACGGCUUACCAAGGCAACGAUGCAUAGCCGACCUGAGAGGGUGAUCGGCCACACGGGAACUGAGACACGGUCCAGACUCCUACGGGAGGCAGCAGUAGGGAAUCUUCCGCAAUGGGCGAAAGCCUGACGGAGCAACGCCGCGUGAGUGAUGAAGGUCUUCGGAUCGUAAAACUCUGUUAUUAGGGAAGAACAUAUGUGUAAGUAACUGUGCACAUCUUGACGGUACCUAAUCAGAAAGCCACGGCUAACUACGUG
RNAcentral lists this ribosomal RNA (497 nucleotides) under uncultured bacterium. Its description in RNAcentral is "partial 16S ribosomal RNA". It matches the Rfam family "Bacterial small subunit ribosomal RNA", at positions 28 to 507 of the family's 1533-position model. The record is from RNAcentral.